RNAcentral lists this long non-coding RNA (480 nucleotides) under Durio zibethinus. Its description in RNAcentral is "long non-coding RNA (DZIB_LNC001151)". The record is from RNAcentral. Lineage: Eukaryota; Viridiplantae; Streptophyta; Magnoliopsida; Malvales; Malvaceae.
GAAAAUUUUAAAACAAAGAAAAAAGUGAACAAAAGAGAAUGAAAGCACAUAAAAAAAGUAAAAAAAAAGAAGAAAAUUUUGAAAAGAGAAAAAGUUAAUGAAAAAUUAUAAAAAUGCAAUAGAAAAUAACCAAGAAUGAUAAAAAAAAAAAGAUAGAAAAAUAAAAAAUUCAAAACUUUAUAAAAAUUUAUGAAAUUAUAAAUAAAGAAAGAAAAUAAAAUAAGAAAAAAAUUAAAGCAAAAGAAAAAAGAUAAAUAAAGCACAAAAAAACAAAAAUACUACAAAAAAUAUAAAAAGUAAGAAAAUGAAAAAGGACAAAAAUUGAAUAAAAAUUUCAAAAAUGAAAUGGAAUGACAAAAUGAAAAAAAUUAGUUUAAAAAAUACAAAAAAUUGAAAAACAUAUAAGUUCUAACAAAUAAAAAGUUUGAGAAUUUAAAAACACAAAUAAGAAAUGAAAGGAAAUUUAUGGAAAAAAAAAAA